Molecule: ribosomal RNA, 1271 nt
Filed under: metagenome
Description: SSU rRNA
Rfam family: Eukaryotic small subunit ribosomal RNA
Source: RNAcentral
ACGCGGGACUCUAAGAGGCCCCGUAAUUGGAAUGAGUACACCUUAGAUCGUUUAACGAGUAUCAAUUGGAGGGCAAGUCUGGUGCCAGCAGCCGCGGUAAUUCCAGCUCCAAUAGCGUAUAUUAAAGUUGCUGCAGUUAAAAAGCUCGUAGUUGGAUCUGGGGCUUGAGGUCGCUGUCUAUCGUUUCGGCGAUGACGGUGAUGCUCAGCUCUGCUUGCCGGUGACUGUUGCGGUGUUCUUCACUGAGCGCUGUAGCAGCACGGCACGUUUACUUUGAAAAAAUUAGAGUGCUCAAAGCGUGCUUGUCGCUUGAAUAAUGUUGCAUGGAAUAAUGGAAUAGGACCUCGGUUCUAUUUUGUUGGUUUUCGGAGCUUGAGGUAAUGAUUAAGAGGGACGAACGGGGGCAUUCGUAUUGCGGUGUUAGAGGUGAAAUUCUUGGAUCGCCGCAAGACGGACUACUGCGAAAGCAUUUGCCAAGAACGCUUUCAUUAAUUAAGAACGAAAGUCAGAGGUUCGAAGACGAUCAGACACCGUCCUAGUUCUGACCAUAAACGAUGCCGACCAGCGAUCCGUAGUGGUUGCUUUAUGGACCCUACGGGCAGCCUCCGGGAAACCAAAGUAUUUGGGUUCCGGGGGAAGUAUGGUUGCAAAGCUGAAACUUAAAGGAAUUGACGGAAGGGCACACCAGGAGUGGAGCCUGCGGCUUAAUUUGACCCAACACGGGAAAACUCACCCGGUCCGGACACCGUAAGGAUUGACAGACUGAUAGCUCUUUCUUGAUUCGGUGGAUGGUGGUGCAUGGCCGUUCUUAGUUGGUGGAGUGAUUUGUCUGGUUAAUUCCGAUAACGAACGAGACUCUAGCCUGCUAAGUAGUGUUGCUAUUGUUAUAUGGUUGACACUUCUUAGAGGGACAAGUGGCAUUUAGCCACGCGAAAUUGAGCAAUAACAGGUCUGUGAUGCCCUUAGAUGUCCGGGGCCGCACGCGCGCUACACUGGAGAAGUCAGCGUGUGUUAUCCAAGUCCGAAAGGACUGGGUAAUCCGUUGAACCUUCUUCGUGCUUGGGACUGUGGCUUGGAACUAUUCCACAUGAACGAGGAAUUCCUAGUAAUUGCAAGUCAUAAGCUUGCGUUGAUUACGUCCCUGCCCUUUGUACACACCGCCCGUCGCUACUACCGAUUGAAUGGUUUAGCAAGGUCCUCGGAUCGUGGCCGUAGGGGCACGCAAGUGUUUCUGCGGUUUGCGAGAAGACGACCAAACUUGAUCAUUUAGA